This is a long non-coding RNA of Saccoglossus kowalevskii, 454 nucleotides long. The record is from RefSeq and is a predicted model, not a curated record. Lineage: Eukaryota; Metazoa; Hemichordata; Enteropneusta; Harrimaniidae.
GCUACUGAGAUUCAAAAUAUUCAGAUUGCUGAUGGGGAUGUAUGCAGGGGAAUGACUAUUCCUAUAUUUAUGAUAUUUCCAAGGUUGUUCACAUGUCCUACCUUAGCCACCAGUAACUUUAAAGUUGAGUUUGAAGUAAAUAUUGUGAUUGUUCUCCAAGAUGAUCAUCUCAUCACAGAAAAUUUUCCUAUCAAGUUAUUUAGAACAUAGUGGUCCAGCAGAUGACUAUAUUACUUAUUGUUUCUAUGGCAACUGUAUGUGUGACUUACCAUCAAUUUAAACAGGACAGAUUAAUAACACUUACUGCCAGACUGCCAAAAAUGUUGUCACACAUCAUUCUCGUCGUUUUUCACACUUUAAAGACAUGUAUUUUCCUUCUUCAUAACCCCAAGAUAUUCUCAUUUUAAGUGAUAAUAAAGAUGAACAUUGUAGUCAUUCCACUAUGCACAAUAAA